GGGAAUGUGGCUUAGUGGUAGAGUGCUUGUCUAGCAUGUAUGAAGCCUUGGGUUCGAUUCCUCAGUACCA
Molecule: transfer RNA, 70 nt
Filed under: Dipodomys ordii (Ord's kangaroo rat)
Lineage: Eukaryota; Metazoa; Chordata; Mammalia; Rodentia; Heteromyidae
Rfam family: tRNA
About the family: Transfer RNA (tRNA) molecules are approximately 80 nucleotides in length. Their secondary structure includes four short double-helical elements and three loops (D, anti-codon, and T loops).
Source: Rfam by way of RNAcentral